This 138-nucleotide non-coding RNA is filed under the name Streptomyces noursei. The record is from RNAcentral. Lineage: Bacteria; Bacillati; Actinomycetota; Actinomycetes; Kitasatosporales; Streptomycetaceae.
AGAGGAAGUCCGGUGCGAAUCCGGCGCGGUCCCGCCACUGUCACCGGGGAGCGCUCCUCCGACGAGGGCCACGGCCCGUACGCACGCCGUACGGGCGGGAAGGCCGGGGGCGGCGCCGAUCCGGGAGCCAGGAGACUC